Varroa destructor (honeybee mite) is the source of this 1200-nucleotide long non-coding RNA. NCBI's taxonomy places the organism in Eukaryota, Metazoa, Arthropoda, Arachnida, Mesostigmata, Varroidae. The record is from RefSeq and is a predicted model, not a curated record.
AGUAUAAUAUAUAAACAAAUAGCACUAAGAGUAUUGCUUUCGAGCACGUUUUCUAUGCGACAUCGUAUGACUAAGACUAGGAUAAAGUGAUCUUAUCAUAUUUCUAUAGAGCAGUACGAAUCAGUUAUACAAAAGAUCAAUCUAAAGUUCUUGUAGUACCUAUAUGAAGAUGCGAUGUCGUUCGAAAGAAAUAACCCUAUUGGGAUAAAAAAUUAGCACCGAUCGACAGGCUCUCGUGGACAUCUUGGUACCAGACGUCCUUUCAAUGUACAUGAUUUAUCGCAAUUAAGCUACAAUGAGGGCCGAAAACAUAAAAUGAAUUGUGUACGAGCAGUGACGGACACAUAGACUUCAGCAUUACUCAAGCACUGACUUCAGCGGCACCCAGCCAACCCUGUUCAUAAUCUGCUUUCCCAGGAUCUGUAGUCUGGUAAUUUCAGCUCGCAGCUCUGUGAUAAUGCCCUGGUACUGGUUUACAUGCGUACUUACAUCCACCACAUUCGAUCGAAUCUACAGAGGCUACUACCGGCGCUAACUGAUGGAAAUAUUGGACGGCUAGGGAUUUAUCCACGCCGGGUUUAUAUGAAGCUAGUAUUCGCGACUAGUAUUGGCUGAUGAGGCUGAACGACGCGACGCUAAACACCAGCCUCACACUUGAUAUCAACCCAGUUACAAUGGUUUCCGAUGGAGUAACAUCCGGCGGGUUUUCCGCAGCAAUAAAAAUACUAGCGGUACGAGCCUGCAUCUGGUAGCCAACGGGAAAGCCAGCGAUACCAAGGACACGUCGGGCAGCGGUAUCGGUUAUGCUAUGCAAAUCAAUAAAAUCGCGUGAACGAUGCGAAUAGGAUUCGUGUGUCUUUGGCAAUUGGGCCCCGUUGCAUAGCCUAGGCAAAAAUCAACGAAUACUCUCAUUUCGCUAAAAGCCAUACCGUAUGACAACGUGGCUGGAUUUAGAAAGAAACGUCCUAGAUUCUACCGAUUUCAUUUACGGAUUCACUUACGAUUAGUAGACAUUUUAUUCGUCUUUUACUAAACAAGAUCGAUAAAAGCAUGCGCUUUUUUUCUGAUAACCCUUAACUUCGAACGAACCACAUUUUGCGUUGACCUUCAUAACGGCCUCACCUCGCUGAAGCAUUCAGUGGUCUGACGUUUGCAAAGAGUUAGUAGUAGUAAAGUGCGAUUGUAUUAUUGCUGUUUUGA